AACUAAGCUGCGGAUCUAGUCAUCCUGAGGGCAGACACGGAAAGGGAGUGUUGUCUAGAGUCAGGUUACUUGUCACAGCAGAACCUCUAUGUGUAUUGAAAAGAAUCUCUGCAGUCGUUAGAACUUAGAUUAGUGAUUCUCCUCAAUGACCAGGUACCAGAGAAAGUCAGUCUACUCAUGAAAAUUACACUUCAUCAACCAGGGGUCUCAUAACCACUCAGAAGGCCUGAAGCUUUAAACCUGCCCUGAAGAAAGUCUUGUCUCCCCAUUCCUGCCUUGGCUUAUUGAGGGAGUGACUUCUGCCAACCCCUGCAUGACAAGGACCCCUCCCACCUUCCUUAAGAAGUAUCAUGGGCCUCAAAGGACAAAGGAGGAGACUGAGAAGGCGCCCAGCACCUCUCGGGAGGCGUGGCUUUGCUGAACACCUGUCCACAGGUGCGCUGCUCAGCUCUAGUGCUCUCCUUGGCCUACCUGGGGCCAGGACAGCCCCGUAGACCAGGACUCAUCAUUCUGCCCCUCUCUGCAGCCUAAGGUCUAAGACACGUCGCUCACCUGGGCUCUCACCUGAAGCCUGUCUCAUGGAUUAAUGGGCACUUUCUUGUCUGUUAAUUAACUGAUGUUUUGUUCCCCAUUUGGUUACUGAUGUUCACAUCUCUUCAUAUUCAGGCAGAAUUCUAAAGUAGGGGGCAGAGUGGUGGGAUUUAUUUUUAUUUCUAAUUUCAAAGACUACUAGAACUACUUCCCAAAUGAUCCUUGCAAGUUGUGUUUCCUACUAUUAAAA
Molecule: long non-coding RNA, 781 nt
Organism: Bos taurus (domestic cattle)
Lineage: Eukaryota; Metazoa; Chordata; Mammalia; Artiodactyla; Bovidae
Source: Ensembl